AUGGCUUAUGUUUAAGAAAGUCCAUGGCCGGGCGCCGGUGGCUUAUGCCUGUAAUCCCAGCCCUUUGGGAGGCCGAGGCGGGUGGAUCACGAAGUCAAGAGAUAGAGACCAUCCUGGCCAACAUUGUGAAACCCCAUCUCUACUAAAAAUACAAAACUUAGCUGGGCAUGGUGGCGUGUGCCUGUAAUCCCAGGUACUUGGGAGGCUGAGGCAGGAGAAUUGCUUGAACCCAGGAGGCAUAGAUUGCAGUGAGCCAAGAUUGCACCACUGCACUACAGCCUGGGUGACAGUGCAAGACUCUGUCUCAAAAAAAAAAAAAAAAAAAGGUCCUGAAGAAUGCAGUAGCAUAGAAGGGCGGUAGAGCAAAGGUGGUGAGAAAUAGGAGCUCCCUGCACGGAACAGGGGGGCUCUCCUGUCUAUUAACCAUCAGACAGGCAGAUCGCGUUAGUACCACAGAGCCGUCAUAGAGGAAGCCACAGGGUUGUCUAGUUGCGCAAAGGAGGCUCCUA
This 509-nucleotide antisense RNA is filed under the name Pongo abelii (Sumatran orangutan). The stretch from base 161 to 308 matches the Rfam family "Metazoan signal recognition particle RNA". Lineage: Eukaryota; Metazoa; Chordata; Mammalia; Primates; Hominidae. The record is from RNAcentral.